This 1733-nucleotide long non-coding RNA is filed under the name Homo sapiens (human). RNAcentral describes it as "non-protein coding lnc-SOX7-7:1". The record is from RNAcentral. Lineage: Eukaryota; Metazoa; Chordata; Mammalia; Primates; Hominidae.
AUAUCUUACUUAGCUAGAGUUGUUGGAUCUUGAGUGUGAUCUGUGAUUUCUUUUUUUUUCUUUUGACAUUACCAGGGCCUGCUAAUUUUGUAUUUUUAAUCCUCCAGCAUUCAUCUUGCUUUUUCAUUCCUUCCGAUGAAACCAUUCCUAAUCAUUAUGACCCCUAAAUUGUAAUCCUAAGUAGCCUCCCCGGCCCCAGUGUUUCCUACUUGCAGGGCAUCCUUUCAGAGCGUUUUGAGAGCUUAUUCUCAAAAUCGGCUCUUCUCCAAUGCUGCUGUCCCAUGUCAGCAGUGCCCAGCGUAUGACAGAUGCAGCUCCCUUAACACACACACCAGACCCUUGCCCAGCUCACGCUAAUCUGCUUCCCUGAUGCCGAUGCUUGCUGGCUCCUGGUACGGACCUCCCGGGGCUCUUCUCACCCAGCUCUGUGUCACCCACUCUGCUGCUGCCUCUUUCAGGCCCCUGAGCACGUUCUGGCUCAUUGUUUUAUUUGGCAGGUUUUUAUUAAAUUCUUCUGUGCUAGGUACUGUUCUAGGCUCUGGUGAUGAGAGUCACUGCCCCCGGCGGCUAACACCGCAGUGACAUCUUCAUGGAAAGUUUCCUCAUCUCCAUCCUGCCUCUCACUGCGCUCUGCGUUGGUCUGAAUUUGCUGAUUACUGUCUGCUGCCUGGCAUGCUGUCCUUUCAACAGUGUGUGUCUUCCUCUUCUGCCCAUAUGACAGAGGCCAUGGCUUUGUACUUUCAUAGGCCCUGGCUCAGGGUCGUUAGUAGUUGCUCACUAGGUAACUAGGUAACUAUAUGAGUUCGUUGGUAUAGUUAAAAUGAUAGCUAAUUUGAACUUCUUUAAUACUCAUGGGAAUCAAGGGUAGUUUUACAUUGCAGGUUGAUUUCCUUGCUUCUUAAUUGAUAGCCCUAUGAAAGAAUUAAGUUUCUCCUUCCUACUAAAAUCCAGACACAUUAUCCACUAUACUAAGAGUUAUACAAAAUUCACUUUCAUAGUAAAUCUGUUUUCAACAGAAAAAGAGUAUUUUUCAGUCUAAUAAAGAACCUACUAUUUAUGGUUCAGCCUUAGUACCACGGAAGUAGAACAAGCAGACCUUGUGUGCUCCUGACAUAAUGCAGUAUAAAUCUGAACUCUUCCUGCCAAAAAGCUGAACCUAAAUCUAAUCAAAUCUCUAGAAGUAUUUUUCAUUCACAGAAAAUAUAAGUUAUAGAGAUGCAAUCUUAGAAGGAAACAAACAAAAAUCCAGAAUGUGGGACAGAGCUCGAAACAAUUGACCCAAUUUCUACAAUAAGUCAGUGGAAUGAAAAAAAUAUGGGAUUGUGGGAAAGAAUAGGGUGUGGUAACUAGAAAAACCCUAAAAGAUACAAGUAUCAUGCGCUAGUGUAGGCUUUAUUUAAGAGCUGAUUUGAACCAUAAAAAGACGUCCAUGAGCUGGUGAGGAAACUGAUGAUAGAUCGCAUUAGAUGCCAAGAAAUUAUUGUCUGUUUGAUUAGAUGUGCUAAUGGCACUGUGAUUGUGUAAGGAAAUUUCCGUACUUUUUAGUGGUUUUUACUGCAGCAUUCAGGAUGAAAUGACUUGAUGUCUGGGAUUCACCUUAAAAUAUUUCAGCAAAGAACAAAGCAAUGAUGUAACAAUGUGGCAAACUUUGUUAAUUGUUGAUAGGAAUAUUAGGGUUCACUAAUUUUUUUUGUAUAUUUGAAAUUUUUUGCACAAUAAAAAAGUUUUUUUAA